Non-coding RNA from Cricetulus griseus (Chinese hamster), 2156 nucleotides. Lineage: Eukaryota; Metazoa; Chordata; Mammalia; Rodentia; Cricetidae. The record is from RefSeq and is a predicted model, not a curated record.
AUUAGGGGCAUCGAGUUAGGACCUCAAGCAUUGUGGCACCAGGGCUGAGCUCUGUGAUCUCUUCUCAACUCAGCAGCUUUCCUGUGCCACGAGGAUUCUGGCCUGGAACGUAUACUGAGGCGUCUCCCUGGCUUUUGAGGGAAGAUACACUAACAGAGAGGCAGGACCACUGAAGGAUGGUGGACACUUGCCUAGAGGUGGGGACUCAGGCUGCGGCCCCAGAGUGUGUGGAGAAUAUAGAGAAACAUAUUGUCCCAUCCUUCAGUCUGGAACUGCAGUUAACUACUAACCACAACUGAACUGUGACCAAUCCCCGAUCAAUGGCAGAUGCUGGAGUAAGGGCAGGAAAUAAUGCAUUCUGUCUGGAGUAAGGAAGGUUAUAUAAAUCCACCUUCCUUCGCAAAGUGUGUUCUGGAAGAGCAGGAUAAUGUUGUGGUAACUGGGCCCGACACUGGGCCUGUCCAAUCAUCCAAGAAAGUAAACCAAGUAUGCUCCAUGCAGGGUCCAGGCACACAGAGAGGUCAGCCCUGAAGGUGACAAGGGCCCUGCCAGUCAUUAGAGGGUGGUGUCUCCUUAAGAAUUAGGGAGAAAAGCAGGGAGAUGGUGGAAAUGAGCAAAACAAAUUAUUUCAUCCCUGAUGCCUCCAACAAGGCAUCUUUUCAUCCUGGGCUGUGGCAGCCUGAGCCUCUGGCCACAGGUCAUCCUUAUCAUGGGAAUCGUCCCACACAAGCUUUGUUCUGAUGCCUAGACAUUUCCUGUGUUUCCAGAGAGAGCAGUUCAGUGUCCAAUUAAUCUUGACAAAUUGCUCCGAAGCUUAAGAACAACAGACACAAAAAGGUAGAAAGAGGGCACAGCAUUCCACUCCGGCCAGAUGUGGGCCGGGCAGCCACAGGAGAGACAAGAAUUUCAUACAUACCAAUGGCUUGAAGUCAGAAGUAAGAGAGUCUCAGCCUGCUGUGAGGGAAACAGGCUGAGGCAGGAGGUAACUUGUUUGGCCUCUGACCACAGGCCUCAGCCCAUCGAAGUGGACAAAGGGUGGACCAAAAAGGGGCCAUGUCUGCUCGGUGCAGGACCUGUCUUAUUUGUUCACAGCCUUCCUUAUCCUGCCAGCUGUUGGAUCUUGCCCUGGCUCUUGGCCCCAUAGCUCACCACAAAACUCCUUCCUGCCGGACUCUGCCCCCUUUGCAGUUUUACCAUCCCAAACGGACUGAGCACCCCAGUUAGGGCCCAAAUACCCUCAGAACUCUCUGUGGACACAAAACUCAGUCACCAAAGAACACUGUCUUCUCCUUGGUACCAGUCACUCUGCCCAAUCCCAGGGGCCUCUUGUCCACCCUAGGACACCUCUCAUUGUGUGUCUGACUGUUCCCCUCAGAGAACGUCCUGCUCACACACAUGAGAGAGACACCUGGCUCUGACUCCUGAGGGAACUUUGCUGGGAACCAGACAUUGGUCUGCACCACAGGCCGAGAUAUUCCAGACAAGUCCACUUUGAUCUGUUUCCUGUAGCAACAAAUUUCCCACCCAGGAGCUUACUGCUCCUUUUGUUCCAGAGUCGGUACGUGGAAGCUGUGUUCCAGAGGGGGGCCCUGGCUGCAUCACAGCUGGACUUGGUAAUGUGUAAGAGUCACUCAGGUGAUACUGGUUUUGAAGAUAUGAAGAAGUCAUGGAGAGCAGCUGAGGCUUGGCACUUGGGCUGGAGUCCCUGAAGAUAGUCCCUGAUAGGCCAUUGGUGAAGGCAUAUCCUCAGUUGGAGUGGAGAUCCUAAUAAAUUGGAGAUACCAGGACUGUUGAAUGACCCUGAGGACAGCAGCAGCUGUGGUUUGGAGCUGGCCUGAGCCUAUGAGAAGUGCUACAGAGAACAGAGCCAGAGAAGUGGAGCUGUCCAAGUCCUUUGGAGCCCAGAAGAUCUUGAAUGAGUCCCACACUGUCCCCUCUUAGCUAAACAGUCUCCUGUGUUUUGUCUGCCUGUAUGUCUGCAUACCAGAAGAAUAAAUCAGAAUCCAUGAGCCCACAGCUAUAGACUGCUAUGAGUCAUCAUGCAGGGAAUUGAACUCAGGACCUUUGGAACAGCAUCUAGUGCUCCUAACCACUGAGCCAUCCCUCCCUCCAGACCAUUAGUAAGAAUUAUUAACUAAAAAUAAAUGGUAGCUGUA